GCACCACUCAGUGGGGGCAGAUCACCUGGUGGUCAUCAGCCAGGCAAUCACAGGUUCUUAUCCCAAUCUUCAUUGCCAGUAUCUGUGACACUCAAGUCGCACAUCACACUUCACACAGAGACACACAUAAGAAGGGGUCAAGGCAGCCACAGGGUCAGGGAGACUGAACUGAGAGCAAAGGCGGAGUCCCUGCAGGUGGUCAGGUGAGAUCAGGAACCAGCUGAAGAGCUUGUUUAGGGUGCAGGAGCUUAUUCUAGGCCGAGGUCCAGCAGUUUCACCAUGUCAGCUUGGAGUGGGACUCCAUGGUCAUCAUAGACAGAAGAAACCACACACACUGCUAAAGCCUAAGAACAGAUCCGAAGGUUCUUUGCUGUGACAAUUUUCUUGGGCAAGGCUAGUGACCAGUGACCAGGGUUAGGGUGCCACUGUGUCCAGUCCCAGGGUACCUCCCCUUUUAUGGGUCUCAAGUGAGGAGUUUGUUUUAUUUGGUGAUCUAGUAUAUUCAGUAAUCUCAUGGGCCUGGUUUUGCAAUGUUUGUUGGAUACGCCCAUACAUGCUUGUGAUUAAUUUGGUAAAUUCAUGGGUGGUCAUUCUUCAUUAGCAUGAUUAACUUAUUUCAGUUCAUGCCUUAUGGUUGUGCCAGGCAGAUGGUGGUGGUUCACUUGUACAAACAAGGUAUGGCUUCAUUGCAUCUCAGCCCUUAAACUCAAAAUGGAGUAGCUCACAGCAAACUACUGCUUUACAAAAUGAAGUGAGAAAGGUUAAAGCACAGCCUGAAAACUGCUGCUCUGUACAUCGUGGAGUAACUCAGAGAGGGCACGGCCUCCUCUCUGCAGAAGGCAGGUGGGUUUGUUGGUUGAACUGUGGCUGUUUUCAGGUUGGCCUUGGGUCAGCUCUGGCCCUGGAAGGCUCUUCUCAUCUUCCCCUUCCCUGCAGAGGCUCACUGAGGCCGGCCUGCCCACACCUGGACAGGGACUGUGCUUCCCGUGGGUGCAGCAGAGCUUUUCCUCCUGCACUGCCAAACACAGACUUAGAGCCACUGCUACUGUGGCUGGGCAGUAGCCACUGACUUUCUUUACUGCUGGACUUGGAAUGGGGUCCCCAUCUGUGGGGCAUGGUGGAGGAGCCAACUGCUCUCUUGGCCACACUAAGCAGGAAUGUGAUCUCUUCAACCUGGAGUGCUGGGGUAAAGAAAUCCUGGUGGUGUGGCUCUCCCCACGUGCUCACUGCCCGCCAAGUUGUAGCAGGUGUCAUGGAGUAAAUGUCUCUUUACUCACUAGACACCUUCAGAGACUCCCCAGUGUUUUACUGGGGAGACUUCCACAAAGUGCCUCACACUGCCGGCCAAGAAUCAGGAAUCUCCUCUUCACUUUGAAAGGGUAGCUUUACUAGUGUCCACUGCCUUUGGCUCUCAGCUCUGGUAAGUCUUCGUCUCCUCCUGUCUUUGUGAUUGGCAGUUCCCUCAUGGAAGUGUAUCAGUUGAAUCCCUUUUUAUUUAUCCCACUUGUAAUUCAGUUAACUUCUUGGAUGUUCUUCAUCAAAUUUAGGGAGAUCCUGGCAGUGUUUCCUUAGGUACAGUCUUUUUGCUCUUUCUCUCUUCUUUUGAGACUCACAUUAUGUGUAAGUUAUACUUUUUUUCCCCCUGUGCUGGGGGUUGGUGCUAAGCAUGUGCUCUACCUCUGAGCCUCACCUGCAGCCCAGCUGUGGUUCAGUGGUGCCUCAUAGGUCUCUGCCAUUCUGUUCAUUUGUAUUCAUUCUUCUUUCUAUUCUUCACACUGUAAUCUCAGUUGACUUGUUUUCAGGUUUGUUAAUUCCUGCUUCUCCCUACUCACAUCUCACCAGAGUCCCUCUGGUGAAUUAUUAAACUGAGUUUACUUCUCAACCUUAGAAUUUCAACUUGAUGCUUCUUUAUCAUUUUUACUUCUUUACUGAAAUUCUCCAUUGGUGAGAUAUAGUUCUCUUACUUUAGUUCUCCAGAUGUAUUCUUUGAAAGUAAUUAAAAUCGCUAACUUAAAAUCCUUUUCUCAUUGGACACAGUGGUACACACCUGUAUCCCAGCAACUUGGGAGGCUGAGACAGGAGGAUCCCAAAUUUGAGGCCAGUGAGACCAUGUCUCAAAAGGAAAAAUCAAAGGGACUGGGGAUGUGGUGCUCAGUGGUUCAGUGAGUGUAGCCCAU
RNAcentral lists this long non-coding RNA (2177 nucleotides) under Marmota monax (woodchuck). Lineage: Eukaryota; Metazoa; Chordata; Mammalia; Rodentia; Sciuridae. The record is from RNAcentral.